Trachemys scripta elegans is the source of this 3427-nucleotide RNA transcript. RefSeq lists it as uncharacterized. The transcript is spliced from 14 exons. Lineage: Eukaryota; Metazoa; Chordata; Testudines; Emydidae. The record is from RefSeq and is a predicted model, not a curated record.
GUGGGGGGGAGAGUCAGAUUGUCAGUCUGCUUUGCAGUUUUCAGAUACUGCUAGUUCCUGAUGUAAAGAGAUCUGGGUGAGCUCCCACAGGCAACUGCUGGUGCAUGAUAAGGAGAUGUUGCAUUCCUGUUUUAUGAAGGAGAUGGGGUCCCGCUUGCCUCUGUCCCCUGUGUGGGUGGUUACACAAAAGCUGCCAGUGAGAGUCAUGCUAAUACAUGACUGCUGUAUUCCAGGUAAUGGGGGAAACAGUCAUCUAUUUACUAAGUGCCUGAUUCAAAGUUCAUGAAUGGGAAUUGUUCCUUUGGCUGCAGUGUGCCCCUAAAAACAACAUUUAAAAAUGGAAUUUCAGUAGUGGGCAGGCCUGAAGUUCUCGUGUUGGGGCAGGGUCCUGCUGGCAUUGUACCAAAAUGUUACCUGCUAGUGCAGGCCUCCUCGGCAGGAUGAAUUACAGAAUUUUGAGCCAAUGCCUGAUGCUGCUACUGGUUUUCCACUGGUCUCCAAAAAUAGCAGAAGCCCAAGAACAUAGAACUGUUGGUACGGGCUCUUCAGUGCUGCUGACUGCAUUGCCCAUCAAUGACCAAACAGUCAUAAAACAUAUACUGUGGGAAUGCAUAAGUAGUGCCCCAACUCUCAGUAUUGUGGAUUACUAUGGAACUGGAACAGAACCUAUUAUCUCUAAUUCCUAUAAAGACAGAGUCAUUUUCUAUUCAUCCAAUGGCUCCCUCUUGUUGAAAAACGUACAAGAGACAGACAGCGGGACCUACAGAGCUACCGUCAAUUUGAACAAAAUUGAAGCCAGGCAAACUACACUGCUAGUCUUAGAGCCUAUGUCCAAAGCUCAGAUCCAGAUAAAUUCUACUGUGGCUGGUUCAUCCAUUGAAUUAUCCUGCAAGGUGCUGGUUGGCAAAGUGCAAGCUAUUGACUGGAAGAAAGAUGGGAAGCCCCUACCCAGGAACAGAUGUUACCAGGUCUCUGAAAACUUCAGUCUUUUGUACAUACCAGAAGCGCAGAAAUCAGAUUGUGGAUCCUUUUCCUGCAAUGCCAGCAAUGAUAUAAGCUGGCAGGAAACCUCAGUGAAUUUGACCAUUGAAAGUAUCAUGCCUUCACUAAAGCAUGCACUGAAAAUUUCUACUGUUGCUCUUGCUAUUGCAAUAACAUUGGCUGCUGGAUCUGGAUUGGGCUUCAUUAUCUUGUGCUGUCAAUCGGAAAAGAAAAAAAUUACGGGAGAGCUGUGGAGAUGGCUUAUCGUAUUCAUCCAUGGGCUGGUGUGUGUCUCGGCCAUCCUGAUGUUCACUGCUGCUGUCUUCUGGAUAUGGGAAGAAGGUCUCUCCACAGCCCUUGUAUUGUAUAUGAUCUUCCUCACGUGGGUGAUCAUGGUAACGCUUCUCAUAAGUGUGGUCUUGGCAAUUUGUCCCCAACACCUUGAGAUGUUUAAAAAGAAAACAAUGUACCGUGUCAUUCUGGAUACUGCAGCUCUUGGGGGAGUGAUUCUAGUUAUGUUGUUUGCCAUCUUCCUUACACAGAACAUCCAGCAUCUCCAAAGAAAAGGCUGCUCACCAUUUUUUGACAACACAGCUGCCAUCCUUAUCACCGCUGCAAUUUCUCUCCUUAUUCUUCUAGCGCCCUUUGUGUGGUAUCACAGGAAGAAAAAAAGCCAAGAAAAGGAUCAGCAAGAAAGAGAACCUGUAGAAGUAAGGAUGCAGUGCCCCAGAAAACCUUUUCAUUGGACUUUGAAAAUAUUCUCAUUGGUUCUCCAUAGUACAACAAAAACUGAGAAAUCCCCUCAGUUCAGCCAGAACAUUUUUGAGCUUCCAGUUCUUCAAAACACUUUACAACUGCUUGUUUAAAUAUAUAGAGAUACACACACACAGAGGACUAUUGUUUAAUAUUGCACAGUAAAACACCACAUCUCUUUAGGCCAGGAAGGGAAGUAUUUCACAUGCAGUUGAAAAGCUGAGAAUUUCUGGAAGCAAAAUGUAAUGAAAUAAGAUGGACUGUAGCCAGGACAGUGGGAUCAGCUCUGCUGCUUUUCCAGUGGCACUUGUUAUAUUUUUCAUGACUUGGCAGAGAGGAGUUGUGAAUUUUGCAUCUGCUCUGGAUGACAAUGCAUCUAGGAACAUAAUUCCUCCAACGCCAUGCUUGGCCAUCAGUGCAGUUCUGACAUCAAGCUAGAUUGUAGAGGUGGCAAUACUCGAUUUCUUGCACAACCCCCUGCAACUCAGCAAUAGCCUCUUUGUCUUGGAAGGAAUUGUAUCCCAUACAGAAACACCAAUGCUAGUUCUGGCAGCACCUGUUUUCUUCUUGGAGCUGCUCUCAUCACGAGCUCUCGUUCCCUCUGCUGUCUGACGAGGUGUCGUGCCUAAGCUCCUGGAAGAUGUCCCUUUGUUGUCCAGGCCUGGAGCUAUGACAGUCCUUGGAUGGCCAGAGCUGCAGAACUGACCAGCCAGCAAGCACGGUUAAAGGGACACUUGAGGUGAUGGCUAACAUAGCUGAACAAAUUUCAAACAUUUUUACAUUUUCAUUGCUUUCCUAUGUAGAUACCGUUAAAUGAGGCUCCAGAAGCCAAAAGCCAGGAAUGAAAGGCUGGUAAUGGAUCGCUAGAAGGUACAAGAUUUCAUGGUUUGAGAAUUUGGAAGAUGAGAUGGGGGGAAAAACCUCCAAACUACCUGUCAGCUUCACUUGGCACUUAGGCCAAAUCGGUGUGGAAGACUUACAUAGAAGUUUUCUUCAGACUUCUCUCCAAAGAUUUUUUUCAGAAUAAUUCAUCUUCAUUCAUUCUCUACUGAGGUAAAUGAAGACUUCAUUCCCCAUGUUCAUUCAGUCCUGAUCUUUCUCACACUAUUCCUUCAACUGAUGUCGAUCAAGGUUAGAAAUAGAUCAGUUUUCCCAAAAAAAUCUCAUUUUGAGCUAGAAAUGGACCUGCAGCUUUGCCUCUCAAGUUUAUGGUAAGUAUGAGUGAGAGUGGGAAAAUGUGUGUGUUGUGUUGGGACAGUUGUUAGUUUGUGCAGGUAAUAAAUGAAGGGUGUAUACUGUGGUGAGGGGCUGUGUGUGUUAGUUGUGUUGAUUUGUAUGUAGAAAGAGUUGAGAUGGGAGAUUUGUAUUUUGUGCACGUGACAGUUGGGCACACAGGUUGGGCAGCUGGUCCACCUUCAGUGCAGUCUCCCUCAUACAACCAAUGAAAUUGCUGCAUGCAAACUAGCUUGUAGAAUAAGGGUGGUGAUUGGUUGUAUUAUCCUGAUAUCACAAUGGUCUAGGUCUCUUGGCAUGGCACAGACAUCCCAUACUGUAGCUGUACACUGCACACAGAGCCGGCUUUAGGAAGUGCGGGGCCCGAUUCGAACAGUUUUGACGGGGCCCCGGCAAGGAUGACUGUAAAAAGAAAAAACACGUAAAAAAACAUCUGGGGCUUGUACUCACCGGGCGGCAC